This 1382-nucleotide long non-coding RNA is filed under the name Hordeum vulgare. RNAcentral's name for it is "long non-coding RNA (HVUL_LNC001724)". The record is from RNAcentral. Lineage: Eukaryota; Viridiplantae; Streptophyta; Magnoliopsida; Poales; Poaceae.
AUGCAAUGGUGGAAAAAAUUCAUAGGUAAUACAUGAUCAAUCUGAACUUGCCUUGCUGACGAUCUUCGAACUCGAGUGACUCUAAAUAGCAAGCCUCGCACUCUGGAUGAUCUAACGGGACAAACAAUUCACACAAUAAGCAUAAAAUAAACAAAACAACAAGUAAAAACUAAUAUUACUAAAACAAUCAUUAACACAAACGGAAACAACAGAGAAAAACCAAAUAAAGAAUUCAUCCAAAAACCAUGGCAAAGCUUUCACUAAAACAAAGCAAACUAUAAAUAGUUUUUUGCAGCUAAUAACAUCUUAACAGAAAGAUAAACUAAGUUUAAUGAAAUUAACAGAAAGUAUUUCUCCUAAUAGUUUUACGCAAAAAGAAUCAAAUAAAAAGGUUGUAUAAAACAAAAGUUAUGGUCUAUUUAAAAUAGAUCUUGAAUCUGUUCAGAUCGAAAUUUUAUAAAAACAAAAAAAUAUUUUUUUAGUCCUCUAGAUAGAUAUAACCUAUAGAAAUCAUUAGCAAAAAUAAACACUCAAAAACCAAUUUUUAAAUAAAAGUUAUACCUAAAUUAGUGUUUAACACAAAUCUUUUUGAACACUAAAAUUAGAAGUCCAGAAAUAUUUUUUGUUAGUUUCACGGGAUAGAUUGGAUUUUUGUGGAUCUGUAGCAAAAAUAAUCAAUUAAAUCGGAGUUGUAAAACUAAAGAUACAAAAAAUAAAAUGCAUCAAAUCUGAAAAACAGGAUUUUUUUUAAAACGGGAUUUUCCGGGCAGAUGACAAGCGGCGCGAUGUGAAUAGGUGUUGGGUGUUUGCCGCGGUGCUAAAAAGUAGACGACCAAUCCUUAAUUAUUUCGAACUUACAUGGCUAAUAAAUCAGAACCGAACGGUUUACUAGAUCUAAACUGAAAAACCGAUCUAACCUAACAUAAAGGUUUGAUCUAGACCGAAGGAGAACCGAUCUAAUCUAAUAACGUGUAACGUUUCGAUUUAAAAAACUAGCAAACAAAGUGAGAGAGAGAGAGAGAGAGAGAGAGAGAGAGGCGCUCGUUCUUUUCUUACAAAGAGGAGCUCGGUCGUAGCACGGAAGAAGAUGACGAUGGGGGCGGCGGCUCCGGUGAUGUUGGUCGGCGAUGGCGUUGUCCAAGAGGUGCGGGACGUCGGGGACGACCGAUUUUUGCUGAAGGUGAAGGUUGGUGGUGACGAGAGCGAGCAGGGUGUUGAGGUGAACUUCAUGAACUACGACAGCGUUAUGAGCUCGAGGUGGUCGGUGUAGAUGGAGAGACGAGAUUACACCUUGUCAAACAGAAACUAGGGAGAGAAAGAAGUCGAUUUACAAAAGACGAAGGCCCGGGCGUCGGAAUCCGACGAUGAACCGCAACUUCUGC